Nannospalax galili (Upper Galilee mountains blind mole rat) is the source of this 1916-nucleotide long non-coding RNA. RefSeq lists it as uncharacterized. The transcript is spliced from 2 exons. Lineage: Eukaryota; Metazoa; Chordata; Mammalia; Rodentia; Spalacidae. The record is from RefSeq and is a predicted model, not a curated record.
GUGUCUUAAAAAUUGUGACCCAUGAAUUUGGUAUCAUUUGGAAAGCAUUUGCCUUAAUGAUUAACAGUUUUUAAAUAAAAUCCCAAGGCCAUAUAAAACUUACUUUGUUCCUAGAACUUUUUAAGAAUACCUAGUCAACAUAAAUUAGGCCUUUAUUCGUACUCAAAAAUAUUUCAGUCAUGUAAAAGUACUUUAGUCUGUUUAUCUUGUUACAUUGUUUUCUAUUUUUAUAUGAGAUAUGAAAGAUCUUUAUAUUGGUUUACUUUGGGCUGCUAAUAACCAGUGUUAGAAAUGAACAUUGGGUCUCUUUUGGGGCUGUCAUUAUAACUGCCUAAAUUUUCUCUGCUGUAAUCUUACUUGCUACCUAAAAUUCUAUUGAGGCUUCCCCGUUAAAUUUCUGCCUUUCAUAGAUUUAAUUUUAAUGAAAUGCCAGUCUUUUUUUUCUUCUUAAAUAGUAAUUUUAUCUUACUAUCAUGGAGAGGGCUUUGUUUAUAUUGAAAGGAAUUUUCACUAUUAUUGUGAAAGUUAUUUGAAUUGCCUUAUUUCAUUACUUUUGAUUUUGUUUUAUAAUAGGCUGAUAAAUGAAUAGGGCAUUAAAAUAUUUUAUAAUUACUCCAGAGAAUUGAGAACUACAGAAUUAUUUUUCUUUAUAUUCCUAAAUAGGUGGGCUUCAUAAACAUGACUUUAAAAUUAAAUAAACUAGUAACAUUUAGUAACUUGAUGAGUUCCAUAAAUUGUUAAAAUAUUCCAAAAUGUUUUUCAAAAUGAGUAUUUUUAGAUAAACCAAAAAUUGCUUAUAAGUCUAAACUCACCUGGUUACCGGUUCUUGGCCAGAUUUUAUCUUCUGUCUGGAGAGAAGGUUUUGCUAUUUGUUUCCAGCUACAUUUAUCAGUAAUUACACUUCAUAUUCUCUUAAGAAAUACUUGAAUAUCAAAGUUUAUCUUUUAAUAGCUUUUACAAUGGUUUGUAAAUAAUGUAAAGUUUGUGAAAUUGUAUUUGAAAUGUCAAUGUUUAUAAUUCCUUUUAUAACAUUGCAAAAUAACAGAAAAAAAAUGAGCUUCAGUUAUUUUCAAUAGUUUUCCAAAGAUUUGUUAAAAUUUUUUUUUUUUUUUUAAAUUUCGAUUUGGUCCAUAUUCCCUGUUGGGAAUGUAUUACAUAAAACAGUAAACUAAUUUCUGCAUUUUACACCAGUUUUAUAAAUAAAACUUUUCAAUUCAGUUGAGCUUGCAAAUAUCAAGUAGAAAUAUCCAAUUUCUCCUUUUAAUGAAUGCUCUAUCCAGUUAAAACCUCCUGCACUAUAUAAUUUAAUACUGAGGAACGUGAAAACCAACCAUUUGUUUUUCUGUUGACUAAAUACUCAAGUUUCUGUACAUAUUUACUAACUAAUCAUGUAAAACUUUUACUUCUAUUUUGCCUAUUUAUCAAUGUUCAUGUUAUAAGGUUGUAACUUAAUGCAGCCAGCAAUCAUGUUUCAAAUACAUAUUUCCAGAAUAUUAUAUUUUCAAAUGAAAUCAACCUCCUGGCUCAAAAUGUAAGAUAAACUGAGUUUUAAGUUAAUAUAGCUGGUCUUUACUUUGCAUUUAUGAGCUAUAGUUCCUUUCCCCACAUACAUUAUACAUUUUAUGGGAAAUGUGAGACAAUUUAAAGGUCAAGGAUACUUAGCAUUUCAUAGAUCAUAAAGUGUUAUUGCAGGAUGUGUCUUAAAAUUUAACCCCAGAAAACUACAGCUUCUAGAGAAAUUGGCAACUUUUUUACAGGAAGUAAGAGAGUAAUUGAUUUAUGUAGACUUUGUGGACAGUAAGUCUCUGUAAGAACUACUCAGCUCUACCUUUUCGGUGUGAAGACAGCUAUAAACAAUAUGUAAAGAAGUGGGGAAGGGGCAGUUUUCCAACAAAAUUGUCAACACUGAAAGUUGA